ACAGAGGAUGCAAGCGUUAUCCGGAAUAAUUGGGCGUAAAGAGUCUGUAGGUUGUUUAAAAAGUAUUUUGUUAAAGAUUAGGGCUUAACUCUAGGAAUGCGGAAUAAACUUUUAGACUAGAGUAUGGUAGAGGCAAAGGGAAUUUCCGGUGAAGCGGUGAAAUGCGUAGAUAUCGGGAGGAACACCAAAGGCGAAAGCACUCUGCUGGGCCAUUACUGACUCUGAGAGACGAAAGCGAGGGGAGCAAAUGG
RNAcentral lists this ribosomal RNA (251 nucleotides) under uncultured prokaryote. RNAcentral describes it as "partial 16S rRNA". It matches the Rfam family "Bacterial small subunit ribosomal RNA", at positions 525 to 775 of the family's 1533-position model. The record is from RNAcentral.